Molecule: long non-coding RNA, 433 nt
Organism: Pomacea canaliculata
Lineage: Eukaryota; Metazoa; Mollusca; Gastropoda; Architaenioglossa; Ampullariidae
Exons: 3
Source: RefSeq, a predicted model, not a curated record
UCUCUCUCUCUCACGUGAGUAAACUGCGGGUUUUCCCCAAGAAACUGUUUAGCCUUUGAUAUCUACUAAAAUAAAUACUCGCCGUGUAGUGUGAUUACGAGAUUGUUAUCACAACUUCCGUGGGGAAGGUGUGUGUUGGAGGAGAGGACAAUGCUUUCUUGCAUCAGACCACACAGAGGAUGGAAUGGCGAACAAGCUGCUCACAAAAUGUCACACCUUUAUGACACACACUCAUCCUGACAAGAGCGCUGAUCUGUGUGGUGACCGGUCACCUGCACCUCGCUUACAUCCUGCACCUUCACGAGAGGAACAGGUGCACACGAACUGGAGUUCUACUUCAUGAGAAUAAAGGUGUCUGUCGUCUGUUGUAUCAUCUGCGAGGCUGUGCAUUGUGCUUGUGUAAGGAGAAGGGAGGACAAGGUAAUGUUUCAAA